This is a long non-coding RNA of Chiroxiphia lanceolata (lance-tailed manakin), 228 nucleotides long. RefSeq lists it as uncharacterized. The transcript has 3 exons. The record is from RefSeq and is a predicted model, not a curated record. NCBI's taxonomy places the organism in Eukaryota, Metazoa, Chordata, Aves, Passeriformes, Pipridae.
CAUGUGCCAGCCAGAGCUGACCCACAACCUGCUCUGGGCUCCUUCAGAUAUUCCCUUGGUGGAGUGGGAUCCGGAGCACCACUGCUCCAAAGCAAUUCCUGGUUUCCAUUAAUUCAAUGUAUCCUGAUCCCACCAAGAGCAGCAACAGAGUCAAGACCCAGGGCCCGUUGUUGCCAGGACAGGACCCCACAGAACUCCAGGGUCACAAAAGAGCUGCCAGGCCAGCAG